Myxocyprinus asiaticus (Chinese sucker) is the source of this 2063-nucleotide long non-coding RNA. RefSeq lists it as uncharacterized. The transcript is spliced from 5 exons. NCBI's taxonomy places the organism in Eukaryota, Metazoa, Chordata, Actinopteri, Cypriniformes, Catostomidae. The record is from RefSeq and is a predicted model, not a curated record.
GACUUUCAACUUUAGAUGAAAAGAACAGUCCAAGUACUAGGUGAAGCAGAGUGAACAACUGUUAACUAAAGGAGAGAUGGAUAUUUAAGCACACCAUGAGAGCCUGCUAAUUCCUGUGGAUUGUAUUGGAGCAGAUUUUAGGAUCGAGCGUCUGCCCCAUGGUGGUGACAGAAGAUCAGUUUUCACUGCUCAACAAGAACUUGAAAUUUGUAAUAUGGUCGUAGCAAACAAUGCUAUUAGACUAAAAUAUUCAAAGUGCAGUCAUACAAGAUGACGGCAUCUUUCAAAAUGUCAACACCGUCAACCUCUCCGCAAUUGAUAGAGUGCUGAAUAGACAUCAGAUUGCAAUGAAGCAACUCUGCAAGGUACCUUUUGAGAGGAAUGGUGAGAGUGAAGGAGCUGAGCUACCAGUAUGUACAGAGAAUCCCCACACAUUUUUGUGUAUGUUGAUGAGGCAGGAUUCAACUUGACCAAAGUCGGGAGACGUGGCUGUAAUAUUAUUGGUCACCGAGCCACUGCUGAUGUGCCAGGCCAGCGUGGAAGGAACAUUACAAUGUGUGCUGCCAAAUGUGGGAAUGGUGUACUCGGCCACAUUCCCAUCAUUGGGCCCUAUAACACACGUCUCCUCAAUUUCCUGGAAACUCUUUACAGGGAUGUCAUUCCUGAGAAUGAGUGGGCUGGUCACAUAGAGUGGUGUGCUGAACGUACCACGUGAUGUGAGGAUUGUACUUAAGAGUUUUGACAAUUGUGUACCAUGUUCCUGUGGCAGUCAUUCUUUGGUCAUCUACAUCUCUGUAGGAGUGUGUUUGCUCCUACUCACAGUCAUUGCUGUCUCUGCAUAUUACAUAAGAUCACCAAACUUCACAGCUAAACACGUGUAACAAGUGUGAUGAAAACAUUCUGUUCUUGUGUAUUAUUAAAGUUCUAAAUUUCUUUCCAUAAAAAGGCAUGUUCAAAAAGAGCCUCAAACUACAAUUCCAAUUUACAAAGACAUGUCAAGUGUACAAGGAACAAGUAGCAGUACAGGUCUGUCCACAGGAUCCUAAAAAGCCUGCUUCAGCCAUCUCGAAGGGGAGGAAUUGGUUGGAGAAUCAUUAUUCAUCCCCCAAGAGGACAAAUUGUUUGGGACGGCAUUAGGGAAAAUAAUCCUGAAAUGCUGGCAAAUAUUUUAACUUUCAAUUUCUGAUCCAUUUACUGUUCAGCUAUAAACAGUUUGUGUCCAUGUAUUAGUAUAACAUUUAUUCCAGGAACAUGUUUAAGUUUAUAGGCAAUUGUGGUGGUUCCUAGUACCUUUUAUUACAUGACGCUCUGGAAUAUUCAAUUCUGAUUGGUCAGUGGUGCCAUCUAGCGGUCUGAUAUCACUGCGUAACAACCACACAUCCAAGGAUUAAAGGGAUAGUUCACCCACAAAGGAAAAUUCUCUCAUUUACUCACCAUCACGCCAUCACAGAUGUGUAUGACUUUCUUAACACAAAUGAAGAUUUUUAGAAGAAUAUCUCAUUUCUGUAGGUCCAUACAGUGCAAGUGAAUGGUGACCAGAAUUUUAAAGGUCCAAAAAGCAUAUAAAGGCAACAUAAAAGUAGUCCAGACGAAUUUAGAAGUUAAAUCCAUGUCGUUAGGAGCUAUAUGAUAGGUGUGGGGUGAGAAACAGAUCAAUAUUUAAGUCCUUUUCUUCCUCCCAGUGUAGUCUGGUGACUACAUUUUCUAAGGCAUCAUGAAAACAAUAAGCAAAUUAUACUGUGUGGUGUCCGUUCGCUGUCUGAUACAGUGUUUUCCUCUGAAUAUUUUUUUCUUAAACUUGUUAACUUUGUGCGAAGACUCUUGGGUUGUUGAUGACUAAGAUGUACACAUUUUUUCAACAUCGACUUUCAAGUUAAUAUUAAUUUUCAGCUUAGAAUUUUAUAACUUUUAACAGUAUAGUGUUGGAAAUCCCAGUAUUUUAAAUCACCUUUUAGCAUUUUUUUGCCAUUAAUUGAAACAGUCCUGAUAUGUUUUUUUUUUAGUACUUGUGCAUUCGUGUAAUCUAAUAAUCUAAUGUAAUCUAAAUAAAUGAGGUCAUAAAA